Molecule: unclassified non-coding RNA, 148 nt
Organism: Pongo abelii (Sumatran orangutan)
Lineage: Eukaryota; Metazoa; Chordata; Mammalia; Primates; Hominidae
Rfam family: Metazoan signal recognition particle RNA
About the family: The signal recognition particle (SRP) is a universally conserved ribonucleoprotein. It is involved in the co-translational targeting of proteins to membranes. The eukaryotic SRP consists of a 300-nucleotide 7S RNA and six proteins: SRPs 72, 68, 54, 19, 14, and 9.
Source: Ensembl
GCCGGGUGUGGUGGUGGGCACCUGUAGUCCCAGCUACUUGGGAGGCUGAGGCAGGAGAAUCGCUUGAGCCCAGGUGGCGGAGGUUGCAGUGAGCCGAGAUCAUGCCACUGCACUCCAGCCUGGGCAACAGAGCGAGACUCCAUCUCAA